CCUGCGCCUCACCAUCCCACCCGUUCCAGCCAAAGAAAAUAAUAAAGCCACCCAUCUCAAUACUAGCUACCACGACAGCCUCCCCAAAUUUCCCCACCAAGCGACCUCCAAUCGCGCCGCCGUAGAAAAUUAAGCGGCACCCCGACCAACCGUCGUCGAGGACCAACUAGCCAAGCCCCAGGCGCCUUCUCCUCAUCCUCUCAACCUCUCUAGGCUCCAUGGACGGGGGUAGCCAUAGUAGGACCAGCCGGCCGUGGUCGAGAUCUCGGUGUGCAGGCCGGAGCUGGAGAAGGAAGGGCUGCCGGAGCUGGAGAAGGAAGAGAUGCGUGUCCAUGUCAUCUGCUCGUGGGUUGUGGAUUUUCUAGCCGACCACCACGAAUUCCUAAACAUGCAGUGUGGUUUCCGUUGCUGCCGUCUCCGUCCAUGGGAUUUUCAAGAUGUAGAUUCAUGUUGGUAGCCUGUCGCAACUUUCAUUGUUUUUUUCUUGACACUUUUUCUGUUCCUAGUCCAGAUCCAUAAGUUUCAGAUAUUUCCUAGUGCUCCUCUUCGACGGCUCCAUCCCACGGCUGUCGAUCUUGUCUCUGCCUUGGUGGGUUGGAGCAGAUUAUGGUCAUGUUGCGCUGCCUCUCCCUGCAUCUUGCGAUGCGGCCGGCCGUGACGUGUGCAACGGAAGCAGUUGGAAGAUGGGACCUCGCUCGCGGUGGUAAUUGAUGUGCCGCGUUGCCUCCUCCAAUGAUUUUUUUUUCGACGCACGAACCUUCCGCGGGGCGAGUCUACCACCGAGGGCAUCUGCAUUAGGAGUUCCGGCCUCUCCGUCGUCGCCGGCACACCAGUGACGCCCAUCUCCGCGCUCCGUUCAUCAAUGAUCUGACAGUGACGAUGCUACAUGCCGUGGGCAUGUGCAGCCUAUUGGUGUUCGUUUGGAUCGAUUUCUAUUCUGGAUUUGGAUUUGUUUAUCUUUGUAAUUUUCCCAAUGUUGUUCAACGAUUGAGGGAAUCAGAAAAAAUCAGGCCCAUGUGAUUUUGGUAGUGGUGAUAGGCUUCUCCAUCGGCAGCUCGACCUCGCCUGUCGGAAGGAGACUGAUCUUGGUUUAUUUAUGGAUUUCGUGAGCUGAGCAUUUUUUGUUUCGAUCCAGAAUUUUACAGGAUGCACCAUUGGAUUUACCUUGACAAUGAAUAAACAUGCAUGAAGCUUGUAAUC
Lolium perenne is the source of this 1200-nucleotide long non-coding RNA. RefSeq lists it as uncharacterized. The record is from RefSeq and is a predicted model, not a curated record. NCBI's taxonomy places the organism in Eukaryota, Viridiplantae, Streptophyta, Magnoliopsida, Poales, Poaceae.